This 433-nucleotide ribosomal RNA is filed under the name uncultured bacterium. RNAcentral's name for it is "partial 16S ribosomal RNA". It matches the Rfam family "Bacterial small subunit ribosomal RNA", at positions 29 to 507 of the family's 1533-position model. The record is from RNAcentral.
AACGAACGCUGGCGGCAUGCCUAACACAUGCAAGUCGAACGAGACCUUCGGGUCUAGUGGCGCACGGGUGCGUAACGCGUGGGAACCUGCCCUUAGGUUCGGAAUAACUCCCCGAAAGGGGUGCUAAUACCGGAUAAUGUCUUCGGACCAAAGAUUUAUCGCCUUUGGAUGGGCCCGCGUUGGAUUAGCUAGUUGGUAGGGUAAAAGCCUACCAAGGCGACGAUCCAUAGCUGGUCUGAGAGGAUGAUCAGCCACACUGGGACUGAGACACGGCCCAGACUACUACGGGAGGCAGCAGUGGGGAAUAUUGGAAAAUGGGCGAAAGCCUGAUCCAGCAAUGACGCGUGAGUGAUGAAGGCCUUAGGGUUGUAAAGCUCUUUUACCCGGGAUGAUAAUGACAGUACCGGGAGAAUAAGCUCCGGCUAACUCCGUG